CAGGUCCAUUGUGGUGAGAAAAUCUGUGCCUUUCAGAGCUGACUCUCUGUUAAAGAACCGUGGUAAAGCCAGAGCUGAGUGCCCAGCCUCCUGGCCAGCAUGGCAGUGGCUUUGAGGAGUGAAGGCCACUCCAUUAACCCUUCUCUCCAUUGCACAGAGCCCUGAUCCUGCCUCACAAGGAUGUCUUUGGCUGUGGCUGGUUUGUUUGCAUUGAGCUAUUCACUGAGAAACAGUGGGAUGUGUCUUCUGUGCACUUUGGCUGAGACUUCCCUCCAGCACAGGAGAUGUGGGAACAGUCUCCCCAUGUCCUUUUCCCAGUGGGUGAACUUGUUGAGAUGAUUUUCACAGUGCCUGCUCAGAAAAAUAAUGCUUGUGUGCCUUCGUCUGCUAGAAGAGGAGCUGCUGAAGGGCUGUGGGCUGUCAUCACAGGGUCAGUCAGCAUUACUGGACUGCUGCAGCUUCUGUAAUAGGAGUGUGGUCACUGACCACAACAGUGGAAGAGCUGAGUCCUGCUGCCUCUUCCUUGAUAUGGGAACCUCCAGCAGUAAUGGGGGAAAUCUCCAUCUGCCCCAUCCACCUGCUUCCAACUACGACCUUCAGCUCUGAGAAAGUGUGAUUCUUCUUCAAAUACCGGCAUGGUCUGCUGGGAGGUGUCCCUGCCCAUAGCAGCGUCUGGAAGGUCAUCUUACAGGUCCCUUCCACUCCAUACCAUUCUGAGUCUGUGAUGAUACCCAAACUAACAGUAUGCGUAUGCUGCAUCACUGCAGCUAUUUAGUUAAAUGCUCUCCAAGUGAGGUUGUUUCUUUGCAAUUGCAUGUUUGGCUCAUAAGGGUGGUCUGUUUUCUGAAAGAAUGGCAGAGGAAGGGCAACCUGGUACCUGGAUGCAUAUGCCAGCAAAAAAGGGCUCUGCAGCUGCUGCAUUACACAGAGCAACUGCUUCAUUCACUGCCCACUCCUAAUAACAAAUGGGCGCAGUCAGCCUUUCAGACAAUCUUCCUUUAAUACAAAGUCAAUAUAUCUACAUACACUGUGGUAUGAAAACCACUUAAUGUUUCAGUUUGAAAUAACAGUGUGAAAGCAACAGCACUUUGCUCUCAUACAAAGGAAAAAAAAACAAAACCUUCCCCCACCCCACCCCGACUCUUCCAGUAAGAUUUUGCUGCAACAUACUUAGAAAUUUGGGCAACUUUCACACAAAUAAGAAGUAAAAUCUCGAAGAAGCCUUUUGUUCUUUUUUUUUCAGUUAAAGAUGGGAAAUGGAUUGUUGUGGGGUUUUCUGGGUAGCACUCAAUGACAAUAUUUACCCCUUCUAGAAAAAUAAAAAAGCCACAAGCAAGCAGUGCUCUGGGCAGUGCAUCUUUUCCAACACAUGCUGUCCUCUGUGCACUUCUGCAAGGAGACUCCUUGUCCUGUACUCCUGUUAAACAUCUCCAAUCUUCACCCUAGUGCACAGACAAGGUUAGGCUCUUACCUCCAUUACACUGCUGAUGUUUCAAAGCUGCGUGCUUGCCCACGUGUGCUGUGGCUCUGAAGCUGCUGCCCUUUUGUUUUCAGUCCUAAGACACUGGAAUUUUUUUAAUCUCCCAGUUCACCCCUGGCCCUGGUAGGAUGGAGCAGCACGGCCACAGCUGAAGGGGAGGAGGUUGGCACUGCCACCAGGUCUGGGCCUGCCUGCUGAUCUCACACCCUUCCAAAGACACGUGAUAUGUCUGAGAUUUUAAACAAAACAAACAGAAAGGAAUAAUCCAGAAAGGACAUUUUGUUCUUACAUGAGCAAGUUAAACCUUUUAAAUGGUAGAAAAGCAAUAUGUAGAAGUAGCAAUUUGCACUGCAUUUUUAUAUAUCACAGCCAUUACACGUAACAUUUCUACAGUGAAAAAAUAGACUGUCUUUGAACAUAAUAUGAACAAAUAAGCAUUUUUUUUUUCUUUUAAAUUCAUUGACUGAUAUUCUUUGUCUUUAAAAAAAAAAAAAAA
This is a non-coding RNA of Coturnix japonica (Japanese quail), 1976 nucleotides long. The record is from RefSeq and is a predicted model, not a curated record. Lineage: Eukaryota; Metazoa; Chordata; Aves; Galliformes; Phasianidae.